AGCGAACGCUGGCGGCGUGCUUAACACAUGCAAGUCGAACGUGAAAUGUAGCAAUACAGAGUAAAGUGGCGUACGGGUGAGUAACACGUGGGUAAUCUACCAAAGAGCCUGGAAUAACCGACCGAAAGGUUGGCUAAUACUGGAUAGUUCAAAUGAAAUAUAAUGUUUCGAUUGGGAAAGGGAGCGAGCAAUCGCAUUCACUUUUUGAUGAGCCCGCGUCUGAUUAGCUAGUUGGUAGGGUAAUGGCCUACCAAGGGGACGAUCAGUAGCUGGUCUGAGAGGAUGAUCAGCCACACUGGAACUGAAACACGGUCCAGACUCCUACGGGAGGCAGCAGUGGGGAAUCUUGCGCAAUGGACGAAAGUCUGACGCAGCCACGCCGCGUGAGUGAAGAAGGCCUUCGGGUUGUAAAGCUCUGUCGGAAGGGACAAAAACGUUUAAGGUUAAUAGCCUUAGAUCUUGAUGGUACCUUCAAAGGAAGCACCGGCUAACUUCGUGCCAGCCGCCGCAGUAA
Molecule: ribosomal RNA, 514 nt
Filed under: uncultured bacterium
Lineage: Bacteria
Description: partial 16S ribosomal RNA
Rfam family: Bacterial small subunit ribosomal RNA
Source: RNAcentral